AUUGAACGCUGGCGGCAUGCCUUACACAUGCAAGUCGAACGGUAACGCGGGGCAACCUGGCGACGAGUGGCGAACGGGUGAGUAAUACAUCGGAACGUGCCCAGUAGUGGGGGAUAGCCCGGCGAAAGCCGGAUUAAUACCGCAUACGACCUACGGGUGAAAGCGGGGGAUCGCAAGACCUCGCGCUAUUGGAGCGGCCGAUGUCAGAUUAGCUAGUUGGUGGGGUAAAGGCCUACCAAGGCGACGAUCUGUAGCUGGUCUGAGAGGACGACCAGCCACACUGGGACUGAGACACGGCCCAGACUCCUACGGGAGGCAGCAGUGGGGAAUUUUGGACAAUGGGGGCAACCCUGAUCCAGCCAUGCCGCGUGCGGGAAGAAGGCCUUCGGGUUGUAAACCGCUUUUGUCGGGGAAGAAACGGUCUGCGCUAAUACCGCGGACUAAUGACGGUACCCGAAGAAUAAGCACCGGCUAACUACGUGCCAGCAGCCGCGGUAAUACGUAGGGUGCAAGCGUUAAUCGGAAUUACUGGGCGUAAAGCGUGCGCAGGCGGCUUUGCAAGACAGAUGUGAAAUCCCCGGGCUCAACCUGGGAACUGCAUUUGUGACUGCAUGGCUAGAGUGCGGCAGAG
This 631-nucleotide ribosomal RNA is filed under the name uncultured Piscinibacter sp. Its description in RNAcentral is "bacterial SSU rRNA". It matches the Rfam family "Bacterial small subunit ribosomal RNA", at positions 28 to 656 of the family's 1533-position model. The record is from RNAcentral. Lineage: Bacteria; Pseudomonadati; Pseudomonadota; Betaproteobacteria; Burkholderiales; Sphaerotilaceae.